UAUGGCGACCGGCGCACGGGUGAGUAACACGUAUCCAACCUGCCGAUGACUCGGGGAUAGCCUUUCGAAAGAAAGAUUAAUACCCGAUGGCAUAGUUCUUCCGCAUGGUAGAACUAUUAAAGAAUUUCGGUCAUCGAUGGGGAUGCGUUCCAUUAGGUUGUUGGCGGGGUAACGGCCCACCAAGCCUUCGAUGGAUAGGGGUUCUGAGAGAAAGGUCCCCCACAUUGGAACUGAGACACGGUCCAA
Molecule: ribosomal RNA, 246 nt
Filed under: uncultured bacterium
Lineage: Bacteria
Description: partial 16S ribosomal RNA
Rfam family: Bacterial small subunit ribosomal RNA
Source: RNAcentral